RNAcentral lists this transfer RNA (71 nucleotides) under Bos taurus (domestic cattle). It matches the Rfam family "tRNA". From Rfam's summary of the family: Transfer RNA (tRNA) molecules are approximately 80 nucleotides in length. Lineage: Eukaryota; Metazoa; Chordata; Mammalia; Artiodactyla; Bovidae. RNAcentral also lists the same sequence under 3 other names. The record is from Rfam by way of RNAcentral.
UCCCUGCUGGCUCAGAUGGUAAAGCGUCUGCCUGCAAUUCGGGAGACCCAGGUUCGAUCCUGGGUUGGGAA